This 424-nucleotide ribosomal RNA is filed under the name uncultured eukaryote. Its description in RNAcentral is "bacterial SSU rRNA". It matches the Rfam family "Eukaryotic small subunit ribosomal RNA", at positions 592 to 1018 of the family's 1831-position model. The record is from RNAcentral.
CAAUAGCGUAUAUUAAAGUUGUUGCGGUUAAAAAGACUCGUAGUUGGAUUUCUGCCGAGGACGACCGGUCCGCCCUCUGGGUGAGCAUCUGGGACGGCCUGGGCAUCCUCUUGGGGAACGUAGCUGCACUUGACUGUGUGGUGCGGUAUCCAGGACUUUUACUUUGAAGAAAUGAGAGUGUUUCAAGCAGGCAUGCGCCGUGAAUACGUUAGCAUGGGAUAAUAGCAUCGGACCUCGUUCCAAAGCUGUUGGUUUCUUGGACCGAGGUAAAGGUGAAUAGGGAUUGUUGGGGGCGAUUCGUAUUUGACUGUCAGAGGUGAAAUUCUUGGAUUUGUUGAAGACGGACUACUGCGAAAGCAUUUGCCAAGGAUGUUUUCAUUGAUCAAGAACGAAAGUUAGGGGAUCGAAGACGAUCAGAUACCGU